This 2015-nucleotide unclassified non-coding RNA is filed under the name Daphnia pulex (common water flea). RNAcentral's name for it is "uncharacterized LOC124191993, transcript variant X3". Lineage: Eukaryota; Metazoa; Arthropoda; Branchiopoda; Diplostraca; Daphniidae. The record is from RNAcentral.
UCCGCGUGGCGUGCUUUAUUGAACUUGUUGGUUGGUUAAAAUGGUUAAGACCGAAGAAAAGAAACUUGAGUUGAUUUCUUUAUGACUAUUCUAUGAAAUAUUUGUUGUUAAGACGAUGUGAAAUGGAAAGAAUAUAAAAAAACGGACAUAGACAAAGAAUUAUGCACACAUUAUGCAGGGAAAGGGAAUUUUUGACACAGACCUGUCUUUACAAAGUCCAAAACUACUUUAGCGUAAGGGCUGGAAGACCUGUCAAUUGAAGAAUGUCAAAAUUGUCGGAGAUAAAAAAAAGAAAACAGAAGACGGAUGGUGACGUCUCUUACUAAAAGAUACAACACAGAAGAAUAUUGUUGAGUCUGGACCUUACCCCAACAAGUAUGGUGAAGGAGUCUUGUCCUGUCCUAUUUUCCAAUUGUUGACUCUCUAAAAAGAACAUCCCAAUGGAGAAGAACAUAUCUAAAAAGUUACAUGAGUUUUCAGCUGCAAUGUUGGUGGAAGAAUAACGCUGGACAGAUCAAGCUGAAUUAUUCACAUCCAAAUCCAAAACAUCAAACAAAGAAAAAGUGAAUCAUAUUGUUGGAAAAUGUUUAGUGACUGUAUUCUAGGUGCAUUAUCUACGACUCUACGUUAUCUCCAAUAAAAACCGAAUUAGCUUGCUCUUCACUCAUCAAGCACGAAAGAUUGCAGUUAAUUAAACAAAGACAGAGUUUGUUUCGCCAUAACAAAGAGUCUAGGGAAAGCCCCGGACAAACCCGUUCUUGUUAUAAGAACACGAAGCAUUUAAGGAAAUGUUUGCUUCAGCCAUAAUAUUUGCAGCUGCUGUCCCACUGGUAUUGGCAAACAACGCCCCAACCUAUUCUAGUGAUGUCUCCAGUACGGCCGACAAUUCGUGUGAGAAUUAUCCUCCGCUUAGUGGUGCAAAAGUUCCACAAAAUGGAAAAGCGUCUAAUUCUUCUUAUCCUGAUGAUGGCUGUGGAGACUAUUCUGUCCGAUUUAAGGGCGAUGGAUACUGUUAUUCACUUCUGAAGAAAGGACCUUGUGAGAAUGUGUUAUUUUGGAUUACGGUCGACCCGUAUACUUACGAGGGAAUAUGCACUCCUCGCCUUUGUGGCAGAGAAAAAGUGUUCGUCGGUCGAGAUGGUCUUUGUCACGAUGUUUACGAUACUAAAGAGUGUCGCGGAGGUAGGCGUCUUUAUUACUCGGCUUACGGAGAUCCAAUUUGUGAUUGUCCUAUUGGGCAAUAUCCAUUCCCAUCGGAAGAAGACGAUUGCGUUCCUUUAUUUACUCAAGGGCCGUGUCCAACCAAUCAGGUUGUAUCCGUUAGUUCAUCUGGUAAAUUAGAGUGUUUCCCCAACACUUGUCAACUUGUUGAUAGAUAUCAGGACUGCCUCCUGCAAUUGGUCCCAGUUAAACAAUCAAGAAUAAGUAACGAUGACAACGGCGAUGAAUAUGGAUACUGCUAUGGGUUAGGCACUCGUGGACCUUGCUCACCUUCUGAACUUUUUGGUUACAACAUCUUUCACUGUCAGGGAGAGUGUGCUGACAUGGAUGACCCUAGAACGCCUUACUUUUCUUCUCCGGAAGAGAAUGCAAUUUUAGAUGAUGUCUUUGAUCGGGCCGCAAACGAACCCAUAAAAACAAAGAAUAACAAAAACAAGUAGAAUUCCAACAUCUCUCCUAAAUCCUUGUCAACCUGGCGGUCGAAACGGAAAUAAUUUCAAGUGUGCAAAUCCUUUGGUUCCUAGUAGACCCAUACGUGACGUUAGUAAGCCUGUCAGUCCUGCUUUCGGUUGCCGACCAAAUGAUUUCUUGCGAGCUACUGGACAAUGCGGUAGCAACCGUGUGCCAGCUAGCUGCGGACCUUCUUACAAAUUCAUCAAAGCUACAAACCAAUGUAGACCAAUUCGCUUUUGAAUUAAAUUCGCUUUGUAAUUAAAGAAUAUAGUGGAUAAUCCUGAAAUUCAACACAACUAAUUUCGUAAUUGAUGCGAAAAUACAAGUUUCUUAAUAUCGUA